Molecule: small RNA, 565 nt
Filed under: Pongo abelii (Sumatran orangutan)
Lineage: Eukaryota; Metazoa; Chordata; Mammalia; Primates; Hominidae
Description: retained intron
Source: RNAcentral
CUGGAACUUCAGCUGAUAAAAGGGCUGGUAGGAAAACACACAGGGCUCUGCAUCCCCAGGACUCAGCUUCAUCCCUGUCUGCUGAGCUUUGACUCUAGAAUCUGACUGUUGGCCCCCCUCUUCUAGGAUUCUGAACACGACCCUCUUUGAGAGCUGGGAGAUAAUCGGGCCUUAUGCUUCAUGGUGGCUCCUCAAUGGCCUGCUGCUGACCCUACAGGUUCUGCAUGUCAUCUGGUCCUACCUAAUUGCACGGAUUGCUUUGAAAGCCUUGAUCAGGGGAAAGGUAUCUAAGGAUGAUCGCAGUGAUGUGGAGAGCAGCUCGGAGGAAGAAGAUGUGACCACCUGCACAAAAAGUCCCUGUGACAGUAGCUCCAGCAAUGGUGCCAAUCGGGUGAAUGGUCACAUGGGAGGCAGCUACUGGGCUGAAGAGUAAGGUGGUUGCUAUGGGGACUUCAGCACACAUGGACUUGUAGGGCCACUGGCAACAUACUCCUCUUGGCCCUUCCCAUAUCUACUCUUCUGUGACAGGGAGACUGCAAGGCACUGAGGAGUAUCAAAGAAGCAA